Molecule: ribosomal RNA, 497 nt
Filed under: uncultured bacterium
Lineage: Bacteria
Description: partial 16S ribosomal RNA
Rfam family: Bacterial small subunit ribosomal RNA
Source: RNAcentral
GAUGAACGCUGGCGGCGUGCCUAAUACAUGCAAGUCGAGCGAACGGACGAGAAGCUUGCUUCUCUGAUGUUAGCGGCGGACGGGUGAGUAACACGUGGAUAACCUACCUAUAAGACUGGGAUAACUUCGGGAAACCGUAGCUAAUACCGGAUAAUAUUUUGAUCCGCAUGGUUCAACAGUGAAAGACGGUCUUGCUGACCCUUAUAGAUGGAUCCGCGCUGCAUUAGCUAGUUGGUAAGGUAACGGCUUACCAAGGCAACGAUGCAUAGCCGACCUGAGAGGGUGAUCGGCCACACUGGAACUGAGACACGGUCCAGACUCCUACGGGAGGCAGCAGUAGGGAAUCUUCCGCAAUGGGCGAAAGCCUGACGGAGCAACGCCGCGUGAGUGAUGAAGGUCUUCGGAUCGUAAAACUCUGUUAUUAGGGAAGAACAUAUGUGUAAGUAACUGUGCACAGCUUGACGGUACCUAAUCAGAAAGCCACGGCUAACUACGUG